UUAAAGAUGUACUAGUUAAAGAUGUACUAGUAUACAUAUGAUUAUGAUUAUAAAUCUCUCUAUUAUUAUGAACUAGAAUACUUCUGUUUUAUUGAUUUCUUAUUCGGAGUGUCAUAUCUAUUCUGAGGUCAUUUGAAAUCAUGGUUAAUAUAUCAUGGAUAUCGUAAGAGCUUUGAGUUGUUACAUAUGGUUUAAAAUAAGAAUUUGUGGGGCU
This 214-nucleotide long non-coding RNA is filed under the name Solanum tuberosum (potato). Its description in RNAcentral is "long non-coding RNA (STUB_LNC011627)". Lineage: Eukaryota; Viridiplantae; Streptophyta; Magnoliopsida; Solanales; Solanaceae. The record is from RNAcentral.